UUCACCCCAACCUGCAAGAGAAAUCCUUCCAAUUAUUUUCCCACAAUCAAUUGAAAUCAAUCACCAAAAAUAACUACUCAAUACAUUCCUAUAUCACCCCUCUACACUAAUCUCUCCGCCUCACACAAUUCGGCAGUCUCUCCUAAAUUACUUUUGAAUCACAAAAUUUCCUCAAGGCGGCAGAGAAGAGAGAGUUCAUCAUUCUCCCCCUCACUAUCCUAACCCCACCGAGAGAAAAGGCGGAGAGUUGGAUCGACUGCUUCCGAGCCACAACCUCUUUUGUUUACAGCAACUCGUCCCAAAUUGUUGCAGGUUGAGCGGUGACGAGCUUGAGGUGGUGUUGAGUCGAACCUGAAUUAUUGUUGGAUUUUAUUUUGAACUCCGAGGGUCGUCGUGUCUUCAUAUACGACGACACUCUUACUCUUGGAUGCUUUCGCUGAGAUAAUACAAUUUUUCACAACUAUGUUAUGAACUCUUUUUCUCUUGAA
Salvia hispanica is the source of this 488-nucleotide long non-coding RNA. RefSeq lists it as uncharacterized. NCBI's taxonomy places the organism in Eukaryota, Viridiplantae, Streptophyta, Magnoliopsida, Lamiales, Lamiaceae. The record is from RefSeq and is a predicted model, not a curated record.